CAAAAUCGAAACGAUAUAAUGCUCAGUUAAUUUAAAUUUAAGUACUUUCGAGAGCAACAUUUUUUUUUUGGAAUUGUGUGCGGUGCGGUGCUUGCAAACGCCAUUUUCAACGUUUCAACGUUACGUCUCAAUACGCGACCGCAUUUCACAUGCUACCCUUUCUCUAGUUUCAUUCAACAAAACAAUUUGAUUCCGGAUAGCCGCCAGCAGCCCGCAAGAGAGCCAAACAAAAUUUCGCCCUAUUGGACAACAAUUUUUUUUUGUUUUGUUUUAUAUAUUGUUUUUGUUUUUUUUUUUUUGCAAUUUUGUGUUUUGUUCAUCCUUUGCGGAUACGUGUUGGACGUCGAGAAGGCUGUGAAGAUGGCGCGUGCAUUACAAUAAAACAGAUUACAAAAACAAGAAACUUAAGAAAGACAAAAAAUUGCACAAGAAACGCUCAAAUCAACUGACUGUGGGGGGAGGGGCUGUCGGUCGCCUAUAGCCGCAGCUAGCCAAUACUCAAACCCAAAUACCCAGCAUUCAACAAAGCCAAGCAGCAGCAGCAACAACAACAGCGAACGUCGCGACACAACAACAACAACAACAACAAAAUAGUUCUUAACAGCCGUCGCUUGUUGUCUCGCUCACUCUCUUGCCUUCGCACGACUGUGAUUUGGCGGGGGUGUUGGGCAGCGCGUGCUCAAACAAAAACAGUAAACAAGAACAACAACAAGAACAAGAACAACAACACCACAACAUAACAUUUCCGCAUUUGAAAUAUCAACAACAAGAAUUCUACAUAGAACACGUUUAGGCCGUGGCUGCCACCGUGUGAACAACAACAGCAGCACGACCACCACCAACAGAGGAGAGCAGCAACAAUAACAUAGCCAAGGACACGUACUUUAAACGUAUGUGCAGCACACACACGCGACAACCAAAUGGAUGUCCUGGAACUGCUCCGUGCGAGCGCCAACGGCUGUUACAAUACAUUAUUCUCCGAUGCCUGGUUUCAAUAUGUCUCCAAACAAAUCGCGACCACGAUGUACUGGUACGGCGCGCUGCUUGUUAUCGGCGUGCUAUUCAUCGCCUGGUUCCUGUACUUUAAGCGCCUGGCACGGCUGCGCCUGCGCGACGAGAUUGCCCGAUCGCUGAGCGCGGUGACGUCAUCGGGCGGCGAUCAUCGCGGCCUGCGCUUCCGCAAGAGGGACAAGAUGCUCUUCUAUGGCCGCCGGAUGCUGCGCAAAAUGAAGAACGUCAGCGGCCAGAUGUACAGCAGCGGCAAGGGCUAUAAGCGGCGGGCGGUGAUGCGUUUCGCGCGCCGCAUCCUGCAGCUGCAGCGCGAGAACAGGCCGCUGGAAAUGAAGACAGUGGAGCCGCCGGCCGAAUAUCUGGAGGAGACCAUCGAGGGCAGCGAUCGCGUGCCGCCGGAUGCACUCUAUAUGCUCCAGAGCAUACGCAUCUUUGGCCAUUUCGAGAAGCCCAUCUUUCUAAAGCUCUGCAAGCAUACACAGCUCCUGCAGCUGAUGGCCGGCGAUUAUCUAUUCAAGAUCACCGAUCCCGAUGACAGCGUCUACAUUGUCCAGUCGGGCAUGAUCAAUGUAUACAUUUGCAAUGCCGAUGGCAGCACCCUCUCCCUAAAAACGGUGCGCAAGGGUGAAUCUGUGACGUCGCUGCUCAGCUUCAUCGAUGUGCUCUCCGGCAAUUCCAGCUACUACAAGACCGUCACGGCCAAGGCCAUGGAGAAGUCUGUCGUCAUACGGCUGCCCAUGCAGGCCUUCGAGGAGGUGUUCGAGGAGAAUCCGGAUGUGAUGAUACGUGUAAUACAGGUGAUCAUGAUACGGCUGCAGCGCGUCCUCUUCACGGCGCUGCGCAACUAUUUGGGUCUCAAUGCGGAGCUCGUACAGAAUCAUAUGCGGACCAAGGGCAGCAGUGUGGUUCCUAAUGCGGUCGGGGGCGCGGUGCUCGCCCAGGCAUCACAGGCAUCCCGUCCGGCGGCACGGGCGCCAACAUCGCCGAACUCGCGCUUGUCGCGCGAGGAGCACACACUCUCCGAUCCGGAUCCGAAUCCGAAUGCGAAUGCCCUGCUCUUUGCCGAGGUGCACGGCGAUGCGCCGUACAUUGAUCUCUACCAUCAUCAGCAGCAGCAGUCGAGCGCCGUCUCCGUCAACCAGGCGGGCACGCGACGCAGCUCGACCACGUACGGACCGAGUGGUGAAUCGCCCAAUGGCAAUGCCAACACUGCGGCCGGCACAUCCAUUGAUCAGCGUCUGGUGCAGUCAUCUGCCGUGGACAGUCUGCGCCGUGAGCUGGGCCUCAGCGAGGAUGAUGCCCAGAUCAUUGAGCCGUUUGUUGAGGUGCGCGAACUGGAGCCGAAUGUCACACUCAUCACCGAGGGCAAUGCGGAGGAUGUUUGCGUCUGGUUUGUAAUGACCGGCACAUUGGCCGUCUAUCAGAGCAAUGCGGAUGCAACGCGUGCCACCAAACAGGACAGCAAGAACGAUGUGCUCAUCCACUUUGUGCAUCCCGGCGAAAUAGUCGGCGGCCUGGCGAUGCUCACCGGCGAGGCGAGCGCCUACACGAUCCGUGCGCGGAGCAAUAGUCGCGUGGCCUACAUACGACGCGCCGCCAUCUAUCAGAUAAUGCGUCAGCGUCCCCGCAUCGUGCUCGAUCUGGGCAAUGGGGUGGUGCGUCGCCUGUCGCCGCUGGUGCGUCAAUGCGACUAUGCGCUGGACUGGAUAUUUCUGGAGUCGGGACGGGCCGUCUAUCGGCAGGACGAGAGCAGCGACAGCACCUAUAUUGUGCUGAGCGGACGCAUGCGUUCGGUUAUUACGCAUCCGGGCGGCAAAAAGGAGAUUAUCGGCGAAUACGGCAAGGGCGAUCUGGUGGGCAUUGUCGAAAUGAUAACGGAAACCUCACGCACCACAACCGUCAUGGCCGUGCGCGACUCCGAGCUGGCCAAGCUGCCGGAGGGCCUGUUCAAUGCGAUCAAAUUGCGCUACCCGAUUGUGGUCACCAGGCUGAUCAGUUUUCUAAGCCAUCGUUUUCUUGGCUCGAUGCAGACGCGCGGCAGCAAUGCGGCCGGCGGGCCCGUUGAGGCAAAUCCCGUAACGCACAAAUAUUCAACAGUUGCCCUCGUGCCCAUCACAGACGAUGUGCCCCUGACGCCCUUCACCUACGAGCUCUACCAUUCGCUCUGUGCCAUUGGUCCUGUGCUGCGUCUGACAUCGGAGGUGGUGCGCAAACAGCUGGGCAUUAACAUCUUUGAGGCGGCCAACGAGUACCGCCUGACCUCGUGGCUGGCACAGCAGGAGGAUCGCAACAUAAUCACGCUGUACCAGUGCGACAGCUCGCUGAGUCCUUGGACACAGCGCUGUAUGCGACAGGCGGACGUGGUGCUGAUUGUGGGCCUUGGCGAACGAUCCCAUUUGGUUGGCAAGUUCGAGCGGGAGAUUGACAAGCUGGCGAUGCGCACACAGAAGGAGCUGGUCCUGCUCUAUCCCGAGACCACAAAUGCCAAGCCGGCGAACACGCUCAGCUGGCUAAAUGCACGUCCCUGGGUGACCAAGCACCAUCACGUGCUCUGCGUGAAGCGCAUCUUUACGCGCAAGAGCCAGUAUCGCAUUAACGAUCUCUACAGUCGCGUGCUGCUCUCCGAGCCCAACAUGCAUUCCGAUUUCUCGCGUCUGGCCCGCUGGCUAACUGGCAAUUCGAUUGGCCUCGUCUUGGGCGGCGGCGGUGCCCGCGGUGCUGCCCACAUUGGCAUGCUGAAGGCCAUCCAGGAGGCGGGCAUACCCAUUGACAUGGUGGGCGGCGUCAGCAUCGGCGCCCUCAUGGGCGCUCUGUGGUGCUCCGAACGUAACAUAACCACCGUCACGCAGAAGGCGCGCGAAUGGUCCAAAAAAAUGACAAAAUGGUUCCUUCAACUGCUGGACCUCACGUAUCCCAUAACAUCGAUGUUCUCCGGCCGUGAGUUCAACAAGACGAUACACGACACCUUCGGAGACGUUAGCAUCGAGGAUCUGUGGAUACCGUAUUUUACGCUCACCACAGACAUAACCGCCAGUUGCCAUCGCAUUCACACCAACGGUCAUCUGUGGCGUUAUUGUCGCGCCAGUAUGUCCAUUGCCGGCGUCUUUCCCCCCUUCUGUGACUAUCGUGACGGGCACCUGCUGCUCGAUGGAUGCUAUACGAACAAUGUGCCAGCUGAUGUUAUGCACAAUCUGGGCGCCGCGCACAUAAUUGCCAUUGAUGUGGGCUCACAGGACGACACGGAUCUGACCAACUAUGGCGACGAUCUGAGCGGCUGGUGGCUGCUUUAUAAGAAAUGGAAUCCGUUCACAUCGCCCGUCAAAGUGCCCGAUCUGCCGGACAUACAAUCCCGUCUCGCCUACGUGUCCUGUGUUCGCCAGCUAGAGGAGGUAAAAAACUCGGACUAUUGCGAGUAUAUACGGCCGCCUAUAGAUAAGUACAAGACGCUCGCCUUUGGCAGCUUCGAUGAGAUACGCGACGUGGGCUAUGUCUUUGGCAAGAACUACUUCGAUAACAUGGCCAAGGCGGGCCGUUUGGGCCGCUUCAAUCAGUGGUUCAACAAGGAGCCGCCGAAGCGCGGCAACCACGCCUCCCUCAACGAAUACACGUUCAUCGAUCUGGCGCAGAUCGUCUGCAAGCUGCCGGAGACAUAUGCCCUAAAUACGGCCGAUAUAUUCAGCGAGGAUGAGGAUUUCGAUGGCUACAUAUCGGAGCCAACAACUCUAAAUAUGGAUCGACGCCGCAUACAAGUGCCUCGGGCGGGCAACUCGCUAUCCUUCUCAGAGACUGAAAUGGACUCCGAUGUGGAGAUCGAUCUGGAGCUGGAGCGCAAGGUGGACAAGGCGACGCAAUCGACGCCGCCGACGCCAAACAAACAGCACGCACUGUCGCCGACCUCCAGCCAGGCGAACCUGCUGCCAUUGCCGGCCAACAGCAAGCCGAAGGAGAAGCAUCCCAGCUACGACAAGCUGGACAGGGAGCACAAGCGCCGACAGAAGUCCAAGCAGAAGCAGCCACAGGAAAGAUCAUCGAUGCAGCAGAGGGACAGCAUGGUCACAUUGCAUCCGGCCACAAUGGCCGAGGCGACAACGCAAACGUUGCCGCAUUCCAGCGAGGAGGAUGAGCUCAAGCAGCUGGAACAGCAGCUGAAGCAGAAGCCAGAAGAGCAGCAGAAGGAGCAGCAGGAUCAGCAGCAGGGGAAUUUAACAAAAACUGAUACCAAAAACUAGCUAUAAAUGGAAGCGCGUCUGUCUGAGAUAAAUAUAUAUACCUAUAUAUAUUAACAUGGCAGGAAUCGGAGCAGCAGCCGGAACCGGAACCAGAACUGGAGCUGGAGCUGGAGCGGAUGGAGCAAAUGGACCAUUCAGCUGGCCAACAAAAUCUCCAUUGAUUAUGUAGCAUCCCUUUGCCCAUCCUCACACACAACCCACACAGCUCCUUAUUUUUAAUUAAGAAACAAGAAGAAGAAGAACAACAACAACAGAAAAGAGGAAAGCAAGGAGAUCGUUUUUUUUUAUGGUCGAUUUUUUUUUUAAGCUGAGCAAGCAAAUAAAUGUCAACAAUUUGAAAGUACAAUCCAUAAAACGUUUUUUUUUUCCUCUAGCAAUAUUUUGUAUUAGCUUUAACUGGAAAUAUUGUUAGUUAUCUAACCAAUUUUUGAAACUAACUUUUCGGUUUUGGCUUGGAUUCGGAACAUCCCAGUUCUUUCGAUUUGGGCUGUGGCGUUGCCUGUCAGUCAGUCAAUCAGUUAGCCGGUCA
RNA transcript from Drosophila novamexicana, 5769 nucleotides. It is a transcript of the gene named neuropathy target esterase sws, with no coding region annotated. The record is from RefSeq and is a predicted model, not a curated record. The transcript is spliced from 12 exons. NCBI's taxonomy places the organism in Eukaryota, Metazoa, Arthropoda, Insecta, Diptera, Drosophilidae.